Non-coding RNA from Poecilia formosa (Amazon molly), 73 nucleotides. NCBI's taxonomy places the organism in Eukaryota, Metazoa, Chordata, Actinopteri, Cyprinodontiformes, Poeciliidae. The record is from Rfam.
GUUCCUGUAGUGUCGUGGUUAUCACGUUUGCUUUACACGCAAAAGGUCUCUGGUUCAAAACCAGAUAGAAACA